UCCCAACUUCCGCCUCAAAUCUGAACGUGCGUUAAAGAAAUUUAAAGCGUGGGUUAUUUCGGUUAUUUACUGUCACUGAAAUCUGAAAUGAACGGCAAAGUGCGGUUUAUCGGUAGCUAAAGUCUGCCUAUAAGAGAGAAAGCACACUCAUACGGAACUGAAAAUGCCAACGGCGGAUUGCUUUAUUUGUUACAUGGAGGAGAAAAACAUUGCAUACAUAUAAAAAUAAGAUGGAGCUGCAGGAAUAUAGACCCAACGCUGUGGACUCAGGGAACAUCUGAUCACGCUAACAAGGGCCUUGAAACUGAGAAAGGACAAAUCCUGUCUGCUGGAGUCUAUAAACAACAAACAGACGAUGCUCAAGGAGAAGCAGGAGGAGUCGGUAAAAAAACAGGGAUGGCUUGAUGGAGAAAUGUAUGGCUCUUGAGUGCCAAACAAAACCGAUAUCACUCUGGAGAAGAUUCUUCCAGCUAUUUGAAAGAAGUAGAAGGACCUCAACGCCACUGCUCUUUUUUUGUUAUACCAUAGACAGUAGAAUAAAUGGACACAGCGACGCCAUAGACUUCGACGGAGACCAGUGAAGUCAAUUAGAAGCACUUUCCCGGUGAUGGCUGAGCGUUAC
Molecule: long non-coding RNA, 622 nt
Organism: Perca fluviatilis (European perch)
Lineage: Eukaryota; Metazoa; Chordata; Actinopteri; Perciformes; Percidae
Exons: 3
Source: RefSeq, a predicted model, not a curated record